Long non-coding RNA from Zingiber officinale, 471 nucleotides. RefSeq lists it as uncharacterized. The transcript has 5 exons. The record is from RefSeq and is a predicted model, not a curated record. Lineage: Eukaryota; Viridiplantae; Streptophyta; Magnoliopsida; Zingiberales; Zingiberaceae.
UCUCUAAACCCUAAACCGUUCUCUCCCGUGUCGCUCUCCUCCCGAGCGGCCCUCUCUGGAGCUCCCGAACGUCACGCGAUCGCCUCCUCUCGCGAAUGGUCGAUCUGUUUUCUCCCCUUGCAGCGCGGGCAACUUUUUUUCAUUGACCAGGGUGGUCUAGAAUUCUUUAAACCGUGAUGGAUGAUUCUAUUGGUUUCACUGAUCGAAGAAAUUAGCUGAUCCGGGAGGGAGGUGUUGAUUUUGUGCUAUCCUACCAAGUUUCACAGAAAAUUAUGCUUGCGACAUCUUUCAAAAAUGUUGAAGCGAUGACUGUCGUUAGUUUCCAAGUGUGUCCUCACUCCGAGCAAAAUUUCAGGAUUCAAAAGAUUCAAAAGUGUGUCCUACUAGCUCCCACCAAGCUCAAAAAGCUAUUAUUGAGGUAUCUCUGGAAUAUCGAGAAGAUUUUUCAAGGCUUCAGGUGCUGAAUCAGGC